CACUCACAUUGGUGCGAAGGGUGAGGAAGUACUACGUUACUGAUCAUCUCACGAGAGAAUCAUGUCUGUGUGAAUUUUCACGAAUGAACAUCAUCCACAGAUAUUCAGUCGAUUGAACGGUACGAAACUGUGAGGAUAGUUUUACAAAAACUUGACAAUUUUCCUCAAUAAAAAAAGAAGAAGAUAGAAUUUGCAAAGUUAGCUUUCACUCUCUACUAAAGAAGAGGUCAGUGAUAAGGGUAAAGUAAUAAGGUGUAAAGGAAGAGUUUUUUCAGUGAUUAAAAAAAAAAGAUUUACAACAAAAGUUGCAUAUAAACGAUGGCAAAGGGAAAAGGUGGUGGAAAUAAGGACGAGAAAAAGAGUGGAGCAGCCGCAGCCGCCCCCAAAGCGGGUGGCGAUGCAAAGGCAGCUGAUGCUAAAGGUGGAAAAGGUGGCAAAAAAGGUGGCAAGAAGUGACAGUAAGGGUCGAUUUUCCUCAGCACCUAUGCAAUACAUUCUACCGAUGAUUGUGAAAAGAAAAUCAAUUUCUGAUUUUUUUCCUUGUCUGUGAAAAUGAUAUGUGUACACAUUGAUAAAUAUAACCCCCCAACCCCUCUCUCACCCCAAACCCAUUUCCCCCUCCCCCAACUUCCCAAUAUCACUAGUCGAUACGAAAUGUGGUCUAUAUACCUAUACUACAAAAAAAAUAUCGUGACUUCCAACCAAAACAUAUUCAACACAUAAAAUUGCAAUUUGAUCCCAAAAAUAACCAACACACUCUCUAUACUACCAAUUUCAAAAUGUGACUCAUUUUUUUUUGGAAUUAUGUACUUUUGAGAACAAUAUAAUUGUAAUAAUAAAAAUAAAUACAAACAGAGCUAUAACUCUAUAGAUAAAA
This is a long non-coding RNA of Lutzomyia longipalpis, 877 nucleotides long. RefSeq lists it as uncharacterized. NCBI's taxonomy places the organism in Eukaryota, Metazoa, Arthropoda, Insecta, Diptera, Psychodidae. The record is from RefSeq and is a predicted model, not a curated record. The transcript is spliced from 3 exons.